RNAcentral lists this long non-coding RNA (282 nucleotides) under Olea europaea (common olive). RNAcentral describes it as "long non-coding RNA (OEUR_LNC001688)". The record is from RNAcentral. Lineage: Eukaryota; Viridiplantae; Streptophyta; Magnoliopsida; Lamiales; Oleaceae.
AGUAGAAGAGCUCUCGGUUUUUCCUCCGAGCUGAAAGUGAGCUCUCGGUUUUUUAGCAAAGGGUGGUGGUUCUUCAUUAGUUUUCCCCUCUCUCUUGGAAGGUAAUUAGCAAGUCAUGGAAGGCUGUUCCUGAGCCUGAAAAACAGCCAUUAGAAGGGAAGAAAGCUGCUGCAAGGAAGGAGAAAAUCUGUCCUGAUUUCCGGCCGAACACAGGUUGUAUUUUUCCAUCCCCUUUUCAUUGUUUUGCCUUGAAUCUUGUCUAUUGGUUGAUUGAACUCCUAG